CAGUGCUCGAGAAAUCCUCUUUUUUUCUGCAGAAGGCAAUUUCUGACAUUUCCGCCAAUGACCUGUUUCUGCUUUAGAAACACUCCUCACUGUGUGACUAUUUGGGCAAGAAGAGAGCAUUAGCGCUGCAGUACAAUGACCUUAAAACUGACUGUUUUCAUUCUGCUUUUUACACCAGCCCUGAUUCUGACUGCUGACCUUCUUCCACCGAUUU
Neolamprologus brichardi is the source of this 214-nucleotide non-coding RNA. Lineage: Eukaryota; Metazoa; Chordata; Actinopteri; Cichliformes; Cichlidae. The record is from RefSeq and is a predicted model, not a curated record.